GGGUUGUGAGGUUAAGCGACUAAGCGUACACGGUGGAUGCCCUGGCAGUCAGAGGCGAUGAAGGACGUGCUAAUCUGCGAUAAGCGUCGGUAAGGUGAUAUGAACCGUUAUAACCGGCGAUUUCCGAAUGGGGAAACCCAGUGUGUUUCGACACACUAUCAUUAACUGAAUCCAUAGGUUAAUGAGGCGAACCGGGGGAACUGAAACAUCUAAGUACCCCGAGGAAAAGAAAUCAACCGAGAUUCCCCCAGUAGCGGCGAGCGAACGGGGAGCAGCCCAGAGCCUGAAUCAGUGUGUGUGUUAGUGGAAGCGUCUGGAAAGGCGCGCGAUACAGGGUGACAGCCCCGUACACAAAAAUGCACAUACUGUGAGCUCGAUGAGUAGGGCGGGACACGUGGUAUCCUGUCUGAAUAUGGGGGGACCAUCCUCCAAGGCUAAAUACUCCUGACUGACCGAUAGUGAACCAGUACCGUGAGGGAAAGGCGAAAAGAACCCCGGCGAGGGGAGUGAAAAAGAACCUGAAACCGUGUACGUACAAGCAGUGGGAGCCUCUUAAUGGGGUGACUGCGUACCUUUUGUAUAAUGGGUCAGCGACUUAUAUUCUGUAGCAAGGUUAACCGAAUAGGGGAGCCGAAGGGAAACCGAGUCUUAACUGGGCGUUAAGUUGCAGGGUAUAGACCCGAAACCCGGUGAUCUAGCCAUGGGCAGGUUGAAGGUUGGGUAACACUAACUGGAGGACCGAACCGACUAAUGUUGAAAAAUUAGCGGAUGACUUGUGGCUGGGGGUGAAAGGCCAAUCAAACCGGGAGAUAGCUGGUUCUCCCCGAAAGCUAUUUAGGUAGCGCCUCGUGAAUUCAUCUCCGGGGGUAGAGCACUGUUUCGGCAAGGGGGUCAUCCCGACUUACCAACCCGAUGCAAACUGCGAAUACCGGAGAAUGUUAUCACGGGAGACACACGGCGGGUGCUAACGUCCGUCGUGAAGAGGGAAACAACCCAGACCGCCAGCUAAGGUCCCAAAGUCAUGGUUAAGUGGGAAACGAUGUGGGAAGGCCCAGACAGCCAGGAUGUUGGCUUAGAAGCAGCCAUCAUUUAAAGAAAGCGUAAUAGCUCACUGGUCGAGUCGGCCUGCGCGGAAGAUGUAACGGGGCUAAACCAUGCACCGAAGCUGCGGCAGCGACACUAUGUGUUGUUGGGUAGGGGAGCGUUCUGUAAGCCUGUGAAGGUGUACUGUGAGGUAUGCUGGAGGUAUCAGAAGUGCGAAUGCUGACAUAAGUAACGAUAAAGCGGGUGAAAAGCCCGCUCGCCGGAAGACCAAGGGUUCCUGUCCAACGUUAAUCGGGGCAGGGUGAGUCGACCCCUAAGGCGAGGCCGAAAGGCGUAGUCGAUGGGAAACAGGUUAAUAUUCCUGUACUUGGUGUUACUGCGAAGGGGGGACGGAGAAGGCUAUGUUGGCCGGGCGACGGUUGUCCCGGUUUAAGCGUGUAGGCUGAUUUUCCAGGCAAAUCCGGAAAAUCAAGGCUGAGGCGUGAUGACGAGGCACUACGGUGCUGAAGCAACAAAUGCCCUGCUUCCAGGAAAAGCCUCUAAGCAUCAGGUAACAUCAAAUCGUACCCCAAACCGACACAGGUGGUCAGGUAGAGAAUACCAAGGCGCUUGAGAGAACUCGGGUGAAGGAACUAGGCAAAAUGGUGCCGUAACUUCGGGAGAAGGCACGCUGAUAUGUAGGUGAAGUCCCUCGCGGAUGGAGCUGAAAUCAGUCGAAGAUACCAGCUGGCUGCAACUGUUUAUUAAAAACACAGCACUGUGCAAACACGAAAGUGGACGUAUACGGUGUGACGCCUGCCCGGUGCCGGAAGGUUAAUUGAUGGGGUUAGCGGUAACGCGAAGCUCUUGAUCGAAGCCCCGGUAAACGGCGGCCGUAACUAUAACGGUCCUAAGGUAGCGAAAUUCCUUGUCGGGUAAGUUCCGACCUGCACGAAUGGCGUAAUGAUGGCCAGGCUGUCUCCACCCGAGACUCAGUGAAAUUGAACUCGCUGUGAAGAUGCAGUGUACCCGCGGCAAGACGGAAAGACCCCGUGAACCUUUACUAUAGCUUGACACUGAACAUUGAGCCUUGAUGUGUAGGAUAGGUGGGAGGCUUUGAAGUGUGGACGCCAGUCUGCAUGGAGCCGGCCUUGAAAUACCACCCUUUAAUGUUUGAUGUUCUAACGUUGGCCCCUGAUCGGGGUUGCGGACAGUGUCUGGUGGGUAGUUUGACUGGGGCGGUCUCCUCCUAAAGAGUAACGGAGGAGCACGAAGGUUGGCUAAUCCUGGUCGGACAUCAGGAGGUUAGUGCAAUGGCAUAAGCCAGCUUGACUGCGAGCGUGACGGCGCGAGCAGGUGCGAAAGCAGGUCAUAGUGAUCCGGUGGUUCUGAAUGGAAGGGCCAUCGCUCAACGGAUAAAAGGUACUCCGGGGAUAACAGGCUGAUACCGCCCAAGAGUUCAUAUCGACGGCGGUGUUUGGCACCUCGAUGUCGGCUCAUCACAUCCUGGGGCUGAAGUAGGUCCCAAGGGUAUGGCUGUUCGCCAUUUAAAGUGGUACGCGAGCUGGGUUUAGAACGUCGUGAGACAGUUCGGUCCCUAUCUGCCGUGGGCGCUGGAGAACUGAGGGGGGCUGCUCCUAGUACGAGAGGACCGGAGUGGACGCAUCACUGGUGUUCGGGUUGUCAUGCCAAUGGCACUGCCCGGUAGCUAAAUGCGGAAGAGAUAAGUGCUGAAAGCAUCUAAGCACGAAACUUGCCCCGAGAUGAGUUCUCCCUGACUCUUUAAGGGUCCUGAAGGAACGUUGAAGACGACGACGUUGAUAGGCCGGGUGUGUAAGCGCAGCGAUGCGUUGAGCUAACCGGUACUAAUGAACCGUGAGGCUUAACCUUACAACGCCGAAG
This 2925-nucleotide ribosomal RNA is filed under the name Escherichia coli. RNAcentral's name for it is "23S ribosomal RNA". It matches the Rfam family "Bacterial large subunit ribosomal RNA". Lineage: Bacteria; Pseudomonadati; Pseudomonadota; Gammaproteobacteria; Enterobacterales; Enterobacteriaceae. The record is from RNAcentral. RNAcentral also lists the same sequence under 1 other name.